AACGCCCACGGACCAGAGGCUGCAGUGUUGGAAGGAAAGAGGGAAGAAUGGGAGAGGUGGUUCACAAUUUAUGAUGAAGCAAAUGCCUCAUUUAACAAGAGCCAGGCACCGCGGACAACCACGCACGCUGCCCUUGUACAGCGCUACCGAUGACCCUACACAGCAACAGCUUAUCUCCUUCCGGACUAGCAGACAGAACGGGAAAAAAAGAUGCCCCGUGCAUGGUUGAAAGUUGGCAUUGCCACCAAAAGUCCAGAAUGCUGGGGCCAUUGGAAGAAAGUCCAGAAUGCAGCUCUUUAUCUGUAGAAGUAAAAGCAUGGUGUUUAGGAUCUUCCGCAAUUUGCCUUGCCUCCAUUAAUCCUCAAGACCACCCUCUGAGCGAGAAACCUACAAACAUCAGCCAGAAAGCAUGGAAAGGAACAUCACCUGGUCGCUUUCUAGCUGACUUGCACCACUGGCCCAUAUUAGAUGAUGGAAAUCAUAAUGGAAGGUUCUGCCACUGCCCACUGAGCCCAGUAAUCAUCCCAGUGGAGCUCAAAUCUCCACUGCAUGGUCCCUAACCACAGAGACUCAACUGUCCAAACCAGAGGACCCUGCAGUAUUUUUGGUAAAGAAAGAGAUUAGGACAACCUUUUUCACUAUUUAAGAGUUAGGAUAAGCCCAAGAUGAUCAAGGUAUUGAGACUCUUAAAGCAUCCAUCCCAUUGCUCAGAGAUUAGCCUGCUAAGCAAUCUACAUAUGGCUGGGAAUCCUACAGGACUAGCAGGUUCAGAAAUGUACCUGGUCAGAAAAUCACCCUGACAUUUUUUAAGGAGUUAUGAUUGGACCUGAAAUUCCCUCUGACCAGACCCCAGAGCCUUUAUGUCAUUGCCCAGGAUGAAUUCCUGCUAAGAAGCAGAUAGAGGAGCAAACACAAUGACUUCAAGCCUUGCGAGGCCUAAUAAUCACCAAUAACCACCAAUUGCCUCUCAUGAUGAAAGUACUUUUAUACAAACCAUCUCAUUUGACCUCUACCUCCUACAGAGGUCAUCAGUGGUGUUUGCCAAAUAUUUUUGGAUCUACCACUUGCCAAGAACGUAGUAGAAUUGCACUGUCUGGCUUCCUUGUGUUUAGGUGGUGCCUGGUGGAUAGUUCUGGCCAAUGAGUUGUGGGCAAAAGAGAUGGGUGUCUGUCUCUUCCAGUUCUAAGCACUUAAUUAUAGUGCAACCAGCAACAUUCAAGAUGGGUCAGCUCCAUUAGCCUGGAUCUCUUAAUGACUUGAAUGAGCACAGCCUCUUUCUCAGCCUGUGAUGAACACAAAGCAAAAAUAAAAAAAGAAACCUUUGAA
Molecule: long non-coding RNA, 1326 nt
Organism: Trichechus manatus latirostris (Florida manatee)
Lineage: Eukaryota; Metazoa; Chordata; Mammalia; Sirenia; Trichechidae
Exons: 3
Source: RefSeq, a predicted model, not a curated record